RNAcentral lists this non-coding RNA (29 nucleotides) under Homo sapiens (human). Lineage: Eukaryota; Metazoa; Chordata; Mammalia; Primates; Hominidae. The record is from RNAcentral.
GACACAGGGCCUGCUUUGUAAAGUAAGUA